AUGAACGCUAGCGGUGUGCCUAAGAUAUGCAAGUCGAACGGUUCUGGAGCAAUCCAGAAUAGUGGCGGACGGCUGAGUAACACGUACAAACGUACCCCCUACUUGAGAAUACCUCGUCGAAAGACGAGCUAAUACUCGAUAGUUCCGGCUUUGCUGGAUAAAGGGCAUAACAGCCCGGCAGGGGAGCGGUGUGCGGACUAUCAGAUUGUUGGUGGGGUAACGGCCUACCAAGUCUAUGACGGUUAUCCGGUUCGUGAGAAUGGCCGGACAGAGGAGCACUGAGACACGGGCUCCACACCUACGGGUGGCAGCAAUUAGGAAUAGUUGGCAAUGGGGGAAACCCUGACCACGCGACACCGCGUGUAGGACGACGCUCUAAUCGAGUGUAAACUACUGUGGUAGGGGAAGAAGUUCCGAUUUAUCGGGAUUGACGGUACCUUACUAGAAAGUGUCCGCUAACUGCGU
RNAcentral lists this ribosomal RNA (465 nucleotides) under uncultured bacterium. RNAcentral describes it as "bacterial SSU rRNA". It matches the Rfam family "Bacterial small subunit ribosomal RNA", at positions 29 to 506 of the family's 1533-position model. The record is from RNAcentral.